UACGGGGGGGGCAAGCGUUGUUCGGAAUCACUGGGCGUAAAGGGCGUGUAGGCGGGCAGGUAAGUCGGGCGUGAAAUCCCUGGGCUCAACCCAGGAACUGCACUCGAAACUACUUGUCUUGAGUGUCGGAGAGGAAAGCGGAAUUCCUGGUGUAGAGGUGAAAUUCGUAGAUAUCAGGAGGAACACCAGUGGCGAAGGCGGCUUUCUGGACGAUAACUGACGCUGAGACGCGAAAGCGUGGGGAGCAAACAGG
This 253-nucleotide ribosomal RNA is filed under the name uncultured bacterium. Its description in RNAcentral is "partial 16S ribosomal RNA". It matches the Rfam family "Bacterial small subunit ribosomal RNA", at positions 524 to 776 of the family's 1533-position model. The record is from RNAcentral.